UCUGGUAGUUAUGGCGAGAAGGUCACACCCGUUCCCAUCCCGAACACGGUAGUUAAGCUUCUCUGCGCCAAUGGAAGAUGCGG
RNAcentral lists this ribosomal RNA (83 nucleotides) under Listeria monocytogenes. The record is from RNAcentral. Lineage: Bacteria; Bacillati; Bacillota; Bacilli; Caryophanales; Listeriaceae.